This 253-nucleotide ribosomal RNA is filed under the name uncultured bacterium. RNAcentral describes it as "partial 16S ribosomal RNA". It matches the Rfam family "Bacterial small subunit ribosomal RNA", at positions 524 to 776 of the family's 1533-position model. The record is from RNAcentral.
UACGGAGGGGGCUAGCGUUGUUCGGAAUUACUGGGCGUAAAGCGCGCGUAGGCGGACCUGCAAGUCGGGGGUGAAAGCCCGAGGCUCAACCUCGGAACUGCCUUCGAUACUGCGGGUCUCGAGUCCGGGAGAGGUGAGUGGAAUUCCUAGUGUAGAGGUGAAAUUCGUAGAUAUCGGGAGGAACACCAGUGGCGAAGGCGGCGACCUGGGCAGAUACUGACGCUGAGGUGCGAAAGCGUGGGGAGCAAACAGG